This is a non-coding RNA of Sus scrofa (pig), 6423 nucleotides long. NCBI's taxonomy places the organism in Eukaryota, Metazoa, Chordata, Mammalia, Artiodactyla, Suidae. The record is from RefSeq and is a predicted model, not a curated record.
UGUGCGCUUGCGCCAGCGUCUCUGGCUCCGGGGCCCGGCGGCCGCGGCUCUUUUGUUUCCCUGCUGGAGCCCGAGCCGGAUCCCAAGCUAGGGUCGGAGGCCGGGUCAAGACCGGGUUGGAGUCGGAUCGCGUCGGCAUCCCAGACUGCCCGAUGGGGCGCGCCCCCUGCCCACUGCCCUCGGUCCGUGCCGUCGCCUGAGCCCCGGCCUGCCUGGCCCGGCCCGGCCCGCGCCAUGGAGCCCGGCCGCGGCGGCCUGGAGGUCGUGGGCAAGUUCGAGUUCUCGCGCAAGGACUUGAUUGGGCACGGCGCCUUCGCCGUGGUCUUCAAGGGGCGCCACCGCGAGAAACAUGACCUGGAGGUCGCUGUCAAGUGCAUUAACAAGAAGAACCUCGCCAAGUCUCAGACUCUGCUGGGGAAGGAAAUCAAGAUCCUCAAGGAACUGAAACAUGAAAACAUCGUGGCUUUGUAUGACUUCCAGGAAAUGGCCAAUUCCGUCUAUCUGGUCAUGGAGUACUGUAACGGCGGGGAUCUGGCCGACUACCUGCACACCAUGCGGACGCUGAGCGAGGACACCAUCCGGCUCUUCCUACAGCAGAUUGCAGGCGCCAUGCGGCUCCUGCACAGCAAAGGCAUCAUCCACCGGGACCUGAAGCCCCAGAACAUCCUACUGUCCAACCCCGGUGGGCGCCGUGCCAACCCCAACAACAUCCGGGUCAAGAUUGCUGACUUCGGCUUCGCCCGCUACCUGCAGAGCAACAUGAUGGCAGCCACACUCUGCGGCUCCCCCAUGUACAUGGCCCCGGAGGUCAUCAUGUCUCAGCACUACGAUGGGAAGGCGGAUCUGUGGAGCAUCGGCACCAUCGUCUACCAGUGCCUGACGGGGAAGGCGCCCUUCCAGGCCAGCAGCCCCCAGGACCUCCGCCUCUUCUACGAGAAGAACAAGACGCUCGUCCCCACCAUCCCCCGGGAGACCUCGGCCCCGCUGAGACAGCUGCUCCUGGCCCUGCUUCAGCGCAACCACAAAGACCGCAUGGACUUUGAUGAGUUUUUCCAUCACCCCUUCCUUGAUGCCAGUGCCGCUGUGAAGAAGUCGCCACCUGUGCCUGUGCCCUCGUACCCAAGCUCGGGGUCCGGCAGCAGUUCCAGCAGCAGCUCCACCUCACACCUGGCCUCGCCACCGUCCCUGGGAGAGAUGCAGCAGCAGCUCCAGAAGACCCUGACCUCCCCAGCCGACGCCGCCGGCUUCCUGCAGGGCUCCCGGGACUCAGGCGGCAGCAGCAAGGACUCAUCCUGUGACACCGACGACUUUGUCAUGGUCCCAGCCCAGUUUCCAGGUGACCUGGUAGCUGAUGCAGCUUGUGCCAAGCCCCCACCGGACAGCCUGAUGUGCAGCGGGAGCUCACUGGCGGCCUCAGCUGGCCCAGAGAGCCGUGGCCGGACCCCAUCUCCUUCCCCGCCCUGCAGCAGCUCCCUCAGCCCCUCAGGCCGGGCCGGUGCAUUCUCCAGCAGCAGGUGUGGUGCCUCUGUCCCCAUCCCAGUCCCCACUCAGGUGCAGAACUACCAGCGCAUUGAGCAGAACCUUCAGUCACCCACCCAGUACCAGACCGCACGGUCCUCUGCCAUCCGCAGGUCGGGCAGCACCAGCCCGCUGGGCUUUGCACGGGCCAGCCCAUCGCCCCCAUCUCAUGCCGAGCAUGGAGCUGCCUUGGCCAGGAAGCUCUCCCUGGGUGGAGGCCGGCCUUACACACCAUCUCCCCAAGUCGGAACCAUCCCUGAGCGGCCAGGCUGGAGUGGGGCGCCCUCCCCACAAGCAGCUGAGAUGCGGGGUGGCAGGUCCCCUCGACCAGGCUCCUCUGCGCCAGAACACUCUCCCCACACUGCUGGACUGGGCUGCCGCCUGCACAGCGCCCCCAACCUCUCCGACCUACAUGUCGUCCGUCCCAAGCUGCCCAAGCCCCCCACGGACCCGCUGGGAGUGGCAUUUGGCCACCCGCAGGCCAGCCCCCCGCAGCCCUCCCAUGGGCUACAGUCCUGCCGGCCCUUGCGUGGUUCACCCAAGCUGCCUGACUUCCUGCAACGGAACCCCCUGCCUCCUAUUCUGGGCUCCCCUACCAAGGCUAUGCCUGCAUUCGACUUCACCAAGACCCCCAGCUCCCAGAACUUGCUGACCUUCCUGGCCCGGCAGGGAGUGGUCAUGACGCCGCCUCGGAACCGGACGCUGCCCGACCUCUCCGAGGCGGGGCCCUUCCAGGGGCAGCCAGUGGGCCCUGGCCUACGGCCCACUGAGGACACCAAGGGCCCCUUUGGCAGGUCCCUCAGCACUGGCCGGCUCACUGAUCUACUCCUUAAGGCUGCAUUUGGGACGCAGGCCCCUGACUCAGGCAGCACGGACAGCCUGCAGGAAAAGCCCAUGGAGAUCGCACCCUCUGCUGGCUUCGGAGGGAACCUGCACCCAGGAGCCCGUGCUGCGGGGGCCAGCAGCCCUUCCCCCGUGGUGUUCACCGUGGGCUCGCCCCCCAGCGGGACCACGCCACCCCAGGGCCCCCGCACCACCAUGUUCUCAGUGGGCUCCUCCAGCUCCCUCAGCUCAGCUGGCUCCUCCUCUGCCCGCCACCUGGCGCCUGGGGCCUACAGUGAGGCCACUCUCGAGGUCCCAGCCCCUGGCCACUGCUGCAGCUUCGCUGACCCUGUCACUGCCAACCUGGAGGGGGCCGUGACCUUCGAGGCCCCUGAUCUUCCCGAGGAGACUCUCAUGGAGGUGAGGGCUGUGCUGGGGGCGGGCAUGAGGCUGGAGCACACGUGCCUGCGGGCAGGGGUUGGUCCCAGGAGUGUUGAGGUCUGUCCCCUUCAGCACUGGCCCCCUGCUGCCCUGUUCCCACAGCAAGAGCACACGGAGAUCCUGCACAGCCUGCGCUUCACACUCGUCUUCGUCCAGCACGUCCUGGAGAUUGCGGCCCUGAAGGGCAGUGCCAGUGAGGCAGCUGGGGGGCCUGAGUACCAGCUGCAGGAGAGCGUGGUGGCCGACCAGAUCAGCCUGCUGAGCCGCGAGUGGGGGUGGGUGCACCAGUGGGCCUGGUGGGGAGGCAGCCUGGGGUGUGGGGUCCCCAAGGCGCCUGAUGCCUACUUGCUGCCCCCCAGCUUCGCAGAGCAGCUGGUGCUCUACCUAAAGGUGGCUGAGCUCCUCUCCUCGGGCCUGCAGACCGCCAUUGACCAGAUCCGGGCUGGCAAGCUCUGCCUGUCCUCCACCGUGAAGCACGUGGUUCGGAAGCUGAACGAGCUCUAUAAGACCAGCGUGGUGUCCUGCCAAGGCCUGAGCCUGCGGCUGCAGCGCUUCUUCCUGGACAAGCAGCGACUCCUGGACCGCAUCCAGAGCGUCACGGCAGAGAAGCUCAUCUUCAGCCAUGCAGUGCAGACGGUAUCAUGGGCGGGACCACAGGGCUGGUGGGGAGAGUGGCCAAGGAGCAGGCAGGAGUGGUCGAUGGCCUCAGCUGUGCCACAUUUCAGGGGAUCACUCCCAGGUGGAGAACUGCACCACGCUGUCCCCUUAGCCACAGGUGACACACCGGCCCUUCUAGGCCCCAGCAGGGAGCCAGGAGCUUCCCCUGGGUUUCAUUCUCACUGUGUGGGCUCCACAGCACAGGCGGCGCCCCUGGCCACAUUCCUCCCUGAAACUCAGUUUCCUUACGUGUAAACAAAAGACCUGGUUUUCAAGCCUCUCAGCAGGCGAAUUGGCCUCCAGAAGAAACCGAUGCAGGCAGCUUAGCUCAGAACACACAGCUUAAACACAGUAGGGAGUUUGGGGGUCUCUGCUCAGUGCUCUGUGUCUGUUGCUUUGGGGUCAUUGUGCCCAAAAAGAUCUACUUUGGAGGCAAUGUCUUUUUUCAAGAAAAUUCACCUGUGUGGUAAAAAGGUACAGUCUGCAGAGUUCCCUGGUGGUUUGGCAGGUUAAGGAUCUACCUGGCAUCGUCACUGCUGUGGUGCAGGUUCCAUCGCUGGCCCAGGAACUUCCGCAUGCCACAGGCAUGACCGAAAAAACACAAUCUUGGGGAGUUCCCAUUGUGGCUCAGUGGUAAGGAACCUGACCAGUAUCAAUGAAGAUAUGGGCUUGAUCCUUGGUCUAGCUCAGUGGGUUAAAGAUCUGGCAUUGCCCUGAGCUGUGGUGUAGGUCACAGACACGUCUUGGUGCUGUGGCUAUGGUGUAGGCUGGCAGUAGCUGAUUCAGCCACUAGCCUGGGAACUUGCAUAUGGUAUCUGCAGGUUCAGCCCUAAAAAAAAAAAUUAAGGAAAAAACCACAAUCUGAACAAAAGUAGAAGAAAAGCCUGCCUCCUUAUCACCAAGCUCCCCCUCUCCUAUAGGUGACCCCUUUAUCAAGUGACUUAGGAACACUCUGUUAGCCGGGUCGGGGAUGCUGACCCACCCGGGGUGGAGCUAAUCUGAUCUGUAAACCCCUGCCUGCCUGAGGCCCAUGAGCAUCCGUUUAGACCCUCACCUACACAGGGGCCCCCACACCACACUGCCCCCAUCACUUGCGCCCUCCACGUAGGGUCGGUCAGCCCUGGGUCCCCCAUCCCCAGUGAUGGGGGUGGCCGGGGCCCAGCCUCCACCCUUGCCCGGCAGGUACAGUCGGCCGCCCUGGAUGAGAUGUUCCACCGUCGGGAGGACUGUGUCCAGCGCUACCACAAGGCCCUGCUGCUCAUGGAGGGGCUGCAGCAGAUCCUCACAGACCAGGCGGACGUGGAGAACAUCGCCAAGUGCAAGCUGUGCAUCGAGCGAAGGCUCUCGGCCCUGCUGAGUGGCAUCUGUGCCUGACCACCCGGAGGCCUGGCCCACUAUGCCCGUGGGGCUGAACCAUCUCUGCUGAUCCUGCGGGGGAGGGGGCAGUGUGCUGGCUGGGCUUCAAGGGACAAGCCUGUGGCCUUGACACUGCUUGCUGGAGCCAGGAAAAGGACUGUGGCUUCCCAUUCAGCGUCCAGAGCUAGGCCUUGAGCUGCAUCUUCAUCACCUGGACUCUGCAGCCGUGGACUUCAGGGCACUGGAGGGCCCUGCACAGAACCUCCACCCAGGCCAGUCCCCUGGCCUUGCUCACAGGCAGAACUCCCAGCCCAGCCAGUCAUCAGAAUUUCUCUCCCGGCUGCCUCCAUGGCAGGUGGGGAUGCACAGGCAGCUCCUGACCCCACCUAGACCCCAGGGUCAUCACGCUGAGGACAAGCCAAGGCCUGGAGACCAUGAUGCCCACUCAAGCCAAAGCCGCCAGGCCUGCCCAGUGGAUCCACCCAGGAAAAGGUGUGUCCUCCUGGCUCCCACCUGACCCUUCCCCAGACCACCCCUAGCUUUGUGAGUCACCCAGCACUUUAUGCAGAUGGACUGGCCCCGGUCCCAGCUGUUGCACUACAAGGCGCGUGUACAUAUCCAUAUCCACACACAUACAGAAGUAGCCCCAUGAGCGCGUGCGCUGUGCCUGCCAGCCCGGACCCCCCGGGAGACACAGCCGUCUUAUUUAAAUGUUCUUUUAGGGACGGACAGUAUGAAGCACCGAGCUUCCUAAAACCCAGCACAGACGUUACAGUCUUUCUCACUUUACUCCUAAAACGUGUCUUAUUUUCUUCAGCUUUUUUGUUUUUUAAAGAAGAAAACUCAAAACAAGUUGAGGACGUUUAUUUUGAAAUGGUGGGGGGCAGGACAGGGGUGGCCUCAGCGUCGAUGCUGAGACCUGGGCGGGGCGGGGAGCCCUCCCGCUCCCUGCCCCCACCCCGAGCCGCUCCCUGCCCGAAGACAGUGGGCAGGUGAGCAGCACCGUGUUUGUGCAAAGCUCCCCCGUCCAGUUUUCACAGUAGGUUUUGAUGUCAACCCCCCUCCCCCACCCAGCCAGGUCCUGGCUGCUGCAGGGGGUGGUCCACCUUCCAGGCUCAGGGGGGCCUUUCCUGGUCUGCCCAGCUCCUCCCAGAGUGUCCCUCAAAUGCAGAGGGAGCCGUGCCAGCCCAGGCACCCAUGGCAAGGGCUUCGAGGUCUCCACACAGACCCGGGCGGAGACCCUCUCGUGUUUCUCUCUUGCGAUACUUGAAAUCUCGCCACUGUGCUUGGACGUAGAAGAAGAGGAGCAGCCCUGGGAGUCGUGUCUGUCUCAUCACCCGUGACUUAAGUUUCUCCCUACUGCGCAGAAUGUGUUCGUAUUUAUUGCUUUAUGGUCGGCCGGAAUCCAGGGCCACCGGGAGGCUGGCGCCAUGGGAGGGGCCUCUGGCAGCUGCCCAUCCCGCUGCCUGCUUCCUGGGGUGCGGUGUGCGUGCUGCCAGCCCAUCCUGUUCUCCGCAGCACGGCUCUGGACCCUCGGUCUACUUUAAUAGAAGUUUUGUGUGCUCUCCCUCUCUUUGCGUUAAAUUGUGUAACAACAAUUUAAGGAAAUAAAACCUCUGGAAUUGUUGA